This 253-nucleotide ribosomal RNA is filed under the name uncultured bacterium. Its description in RNAcentral is "partial 16S ribosomal RNA". It matches the Rfam family "Bacterial small subunit ribosomal RNA", at positions 524 to 776 of the family's 1533-position model. The record is from RNAcentral.
UACGAAGGGGGCUAGCGUUGUUCGGAAUUACUGGGCGUAAAGCGCACGUAGGCGGACUAUUAAGUCAGGGGUGAAAUCCCGGGGCUCAACCCCGGAACUGCCUUUGAUACUGGUAGUCUCGAGUCCGGAAGAGGUGAGUGGAAUUCCGAGUGUAGAGGUGAAAUUCGUAGAUAUUCGGAGGAACACCAGUGGCGAAGGCGGCUCACUGGUCCGGUAAUGACGCUGAGGUGCGAAAGCGUGGGGAGCAAAAAGG